CCUGGCUCAGGACGAACGCUGGCGGCGUGCCUAAUACAUGCAAGUCGAGCGGACAGAUGGGAGCUUGCUCCCUGAUGUYAGCGGCGGACGGGUGAGUAACACGUGGGUAACCUGCCUGUAAGACUGGGAUAACUCCGGGAAACCGGGGCUAAUACCGGAUGCUUGAUUGAACCGCAUGGYUCAAUUAUAAAAGGUGGCUUUUAGCUACCACUUACAGAUGGACCCGCGGCGCAUUAGCUAGUUGGUGAGGUAACGGCUCACCAAGGCRACGAUGCGUAGCCGACCUGAGAGGGUGAUCGGCCACACUGGGACUGAGACACGGCCCAGACUCCUACGGGAGGCAGCAGUAGGGAAUCUUCCGCAAUGGACGAAAGUCUGACGGAGCAACGCCGCGUGAGUGAUGAAGGUUUUCGGAUCGUAAAACUCUGUUGUUAGGGAAGAACAAGUACCGUUCGAAUAGGGCGGUACCUKACGGUACCWACCAGA
Molecule: ribosomal RNA, 486 nt
Filed under: Bacillus licheniformis
Lineage: Bacteria; Bacillati; Bacillota; Bacilli; Caryophanales; Bacillaceae
Description: bacterial SSU rRNA
Rfam family: Bacterial small subunit ribosomal RNA
Source: RNAcentral